RNAcentral lists this ribosomal RNA (524 nucleotides) under uncultured bacterium. Its description in RNAcentral is "partial 16S ribosomal RNA". It matches the Rfam family "Bacterial small subunit ribosomal RNA", at positions 28 to 523 of the family's 1533-position model. The record is from RNAcentral.
GACGAACGCUGGCGGCGUGCUUAACACGUGCAAGUCGAACGGACAGACAGAGAGCUUGCUCUCUUGAAGUUAGUGGCGAACGGGUGAGUAACGCGUAAUCAACCUGCCCUUCAGAGGGGGAUAACAACGGGAAACCGUUGCUAAUACCGCGUACGAUUCAUGAACUGCAUCGUUUAUGAAUGAAAGGUGGCCUGUAUGUAUAAGCUAUCGCUGAAGGAGGGGAUUGCGUCUUAUUAGCUAGUUGGAGGGGUAACGGCCCACCAAGGCAAUGAACAGUAGCCGGUCUGAGAGGAUGAACGGCCACAUUGGUACUGGGACACGGCCCAAACUCCUACGGGAGGCAGCAGUGGGGAAUCUUCCGCAAUGGACGAAAGUCUGACGGAGCAACGCCGCGUGAGUGAUGAAGGUCUUCGGAUUGUAAAGCUCUGUUAAUCGGGACGAAAGAGUUCUCCUUUCCUAAUGCAGAAAAGUGACGGUACCGGAAUAGAAAGCCACGGCUAACUACGUGCCAGCAGCCGCCGUAA